This 348-nucleotide ribosomal RNA is filed under the name Triticum aestivum (bread wheat). RNAcentral describes it as "partial small subunit ribosomal RNA". The record is from RNAcentral. Lineage: Eukaryota; Viridiplantae; Streptophyta; Magnoliopsida; Poales; Poaceae.
AUGCACGACUCGGGCGCCGCCGCGGCUGUCCGGCCACAGGUCUCCGGCCCGGUGACGCCGGUGGACCAGGACGAGCCUGCGAUGGGCGAGGAGCCGUGCACACUGCGGGUGCGGCUCCCGGACGGGCGGUUCAUCUGCAAGACCUUCGGCGCCGGGCGUCCAGCGACGGCGUUGUUCCGGUACUGCCACUCGGCGCUUACCGCCAGCUACGGCGCGGAAGUCAGGAUGCGGCCGUUUCGGCUCCUGAAGCUCGCCGGCGGCGCCACCGAUGAGAUACGUCCUGACGGAUCGCUGCUGCGGGACCUCGGGCUGCACCAUUGCACCAUCCACCUGGUCUUCUGGGUUUAG